AGCGUAGGCGGGUACGCAAGUUAAAUGUUAAAACUAUCGGCUCAACCGAUAGCUGCGUUUAAAACUGCAUAUCUUGAGUGGAGUAGAGGCAGAUGGAAUUCCUAGUGUAGCGGUGGAAUGCGUAGAUAUUAGGAGGAACACUAGUGGCGAAGGCGAUCUGCUGGGCUUUAACUGACGCUGAGGCUCGAAAGCAUGGGUAGCAAACAGGAUUAGAUACCCUGGUAGUCCAUGCUGUAAACGAUGAUUACUAGGUGUGGGAGGACUGACCCCUUCCGUGCCGCAGUUAACACAAUAAGUAAUCCACCUGGGGAGUACGGUCGCAAGACUGAA
This 330-nucleotide ribosomal RNA is filed under the name uncultured bacterium. RNAcentral describes it as "bacterial SSU rRNA". It matches the Rfam family "Bacterial small subunit ribosomal RNA", at positions 568 to 898 of the family's 1533-position model. The record is from RNAcentral.